GAAAUAUUGCAACGCAUUGCAAUGACAUGGAGCAUUUACAGCCAAACAAAAGACAAAGAAAGUUAAGGUGCCUCAGGAGCAACAGCCGGCGAGGGUAGUGGUGCUCAAGGGAUGGUGGAGCUGGAACCACAGGAGCCUGUGGUGGAUUUGGUGCAAGAAUGGCCUGAGGAAUUGCUGCCGGUAGCUGUGGCUGUAGAUCCUGUUAAACCUGAGGGAUCUCAAGAAGAAAAAAGGUCUUUUCCAGCAACUGUUACCUGAUAUUCUUUAAUGGGAAAUGUCUUGGACUGAAUGUGGGUCUUUCUGCGUGCAAAACAGGUGCUGUACCAAUGAACAAAAGCCCCUCGUAGAGGAAAUUUUCCAAGGAAAUCUGUGGGAUCUCAUGUUCUUCAAAUAACCCAUGUGCACACAGAAAAAUCUUGGCACUAAAAUGAAGAGGAUAUAUUCUUAAAAUACUGAAGCCUCCAGAUCCAAUUGUGAUGUUAAAAAAGUAAAGGAAGUUAUAAGGAAGAUGCUGUUACACUUGAUUGAAUUUUCCUCUUUGUAAAUUAAAGUACAGCUGCUUUGGGAGGAGAUGUU
Molecule: long non-coding RNA, 576 nt
Organism: Eublepharis macularius
Lineage: Eukaryota; Metazoa; Chordata; Lepidosauria; Squamata; Eublepharidae
Exons: 3
Source: RefSeq, a predicted model, not a curated record